GGUUAAGAAGCUGCCUUGUCAGAUCACCAGCUACCUGGUGGCGCACACCCUAGGGCGCCGGAUGCUGUAUCCAGGCUCUGUGUACCUGCUGCAGAAGGCCCUCAUGCCUGUGCUGCUGCAGGGCCAGGCCCGACUGGUGGAAGAGUGUAAUGGGCGCCGGGCAAAGCUGCUGGCCUGUGAUGGCAAUGAGAUUGACACCAUGUUUGUGGACCGGCGGGGGACAGCUGAGCCCCAGGGACAGAAGCUGGUAAGAGGGAGCAGAGAGCCCAGAGGUGGGGUGAGUGUGAGGAAGGCAGUAGAGGUCUGGGGACCCCAAUGCUAUAGCACCUCCCUGAAGGAACCACUACUGGGGAUAAUCUCAUGUCCUAGCUCCACGCUAA
This 380-nucleotide long non-coding RNA is filed under the name Homo sapiens (human). RNAcentral describes it as "abhydrolase domain containing 16A, phospholipase (multiple genes)". The record is from RNAcentral. Lineage: Eukaryota; Metazoa; Chordata; Mammalia; Primates; Hominidae.